UGUGGGUAGGGGUGAAAGGCCAAUCAAACUCGGAAAUAGCUCGUACUCCCCGAAAUGCAUUUAGGUGCAGCGUUGAGUAAAAGUUUUAUAGAGGUAGAGCUACUGAUUGGAUGCGGGGGCUUCAUCGCCUACCAAUUCCUGACAAACUCCGAAUGCUAUAAAAUGUUUCUCAGCAGUGAGGGCAUGGGUGCUAAGGUCCAUGUCCGAAAGGGAAAGAACCCAGAUCAUCAGCUAAGGUCCCUAAAUGUAUGUUAAGUUGUUCAAACGUGGUCCGAUUGCUUAGACAGCUAGGAUGUUGGCUUGGAAGCAGCCAUUCAUUUAAAGA
Molecule: ribosomal RNA, 325 nt
Filed under: Thalassiosira antarctica
Lineage: Eukaryota; Bacillariophyta; Thalassiosirophyceae; Thalassiosirales; Thalassiosiraceae
Description: partial Bacterial large subunit ribosomal RNA
Rfam family: Bacterial large subunit ribosomal RNA
Source: RNAcentral